This 576-nucleotide ribosomal RNA is filed under the name Tarophagus colocasiae. RNAcentral describes it as "eukaryotic LSU rRNA". It matches the Rfam family "Eukaryotic large subunit ribosomal RNA", at positions 1363 to 1840 of the family's 3401-position model. The record is from RNAcentral. Lineage: Eukaryota; Metazoa; Arthropoda; Insecta; Hemiptera; Delphacidae.
GCCGUUAAGUCUUGACGAGUAAGAGGGUCGCGACGGUGAGCGCAGAAGGGUCAGGGCGAGAGCCUGCCUGGAGCCGCCGUUGGUGCAGAUCUUGGUGGUAGUAGCAAAUACUCUAGCGAGGGCCUGGAGGACUGACGUGGAGAAGGGUUUCUUGUGAACAGCCGUUGCACAAGAGUCAGUCGACCCUGAGCCCUAGGAGAAAUCCGAUGACGAUGGGUGGCUUGACAACAUAACAAUCCACAGACUGUUUCAAGCGUAAACUGACAAUAAGUUGACACUGAACAGCUCCUAUCGGGCAAAAGGGAAUCCGGUUCCUAUUCCGGAACCCGGCUGCGUAACCGCCACUUUGCGGGCACUUGCUUGCGAGCGCUCGUCGGGGUAACCCAAACUGGCCUGGAGACGCCGGCGGGGGGUCUGGAAAGAGUUUUCUUUUCUUUAUAAGCGUUCGAGUACCCUGGAAUCCUAUAGCAGGGAGAUAGGGUUUGGAACGCGAAGAGCACCGCAGUUGCGGCGGUGUCCGGACCUUCCCCCCGGACCUUGAAAAUCCAGGUGAGGGCCACGCGGAAGUCGCGCCGG